This 492-nucleotide ribosomal RNA is filed under the name uncultured bacterium. Its description in RNAcentral is "partial 16S ribosomal RNA". It matches the Rfam family "Bacterial small subunit ribosomal RNA", at positions 29 to 507 of the family's 1533-position model. The record is from RNAcentral.
AGUGAACGCUGGCGGUAGGCCUAACACAUGCAAGUCGAACGGCAGCACAGUAAGAGCUUGCUCUUACGGGUGGCGAGUGGCGGACGGGUGAGGAAUACAUCGGAAUCUACUUUUUCGUGGGGGAUAACGUAGGGAAACUUACGCUAAUACCGCAUACGACCUACGGGUGAAAGCAGGGGAUCUUCUGACCUUGCGCGAUUGAAUGAGCCGAUGUCGGAUUAGCUAGUUGGCGGGGUAAAGGCCCACCAAGGCGACGAUCCGUAGCUGGUCUGAGAGGAUGAUCAGCCACACUGGAACUGAGACACGGUCCAGACUCCUACGGGAGGAAGCAGUGGGGAAUAUUGGACAAUGGGCGAAAGCCUGAUCCAGCCAUACCGCGUGGGUGAAGAAGGCCUUCGGGUUGUAAAGCCCUUUUGUUGGGAAAGAAAAGCAGCAGGUUAAUACCCCGCUGUUCUGACGGUACCCAAAGAAUAAGCACCGGCUAACUUCGUG